RNAcentral lists this ribosomal RNA (468 nucleotides) under uncultured bacterium. Its description in RNAcentral is "partial 16S ribosomal RNA". It matches the Rfam family "Bacterial small subunit ribosomal RNA", at positions 28 to 507 of the family's 1533-position model. The record is from RNAcentral.
GACGAACGCCGGCGGCGUGCUUAACACAUGCAAGUCGAACGGAAAGGCCCUGCUUUUGUGGGGUGCUCGAGUGGCGAACGGGUGAGUAACACGUGAGUAACCUGCCCUUGACUUUGGGAUAACUUCAGGAAACUGGGGCUAAUACCGGAUAGGAGCUCCUGCUGCAUGGUGGGGGUUGGAAAGUUUCGGCGGUUGGGGAUGGACUCGCAGCUUAUCAGCUUGUUGGUGGGGUAGUGGCUUACCAAGGCUUUGACGGGUAGCCGGCCUGAGAGGGUGACCGGCCACAUUGGGACUGAGAUACGGCCCAGACUCCUACGGGAGGCAGCAGUGGGGAAUAUUGCACAAUGGGCGGAAGCCUGAUGCAGCAACGCCGCGUGCGGGAUGACGGCCUUCGGGUUGUAAACCGCUUUCGCCUGUGACGAAGCGUGAGUGACGGUAAUGGGUAAAGAAGCACCGGCUAACUACGUG